RNAcentral lists this ribosomal RNA (308 nucleotides) under uncultured bacterium. RNAcentral's name for it is "bacterial SSU rRNA". It matches the Rfam family "Bacterial small subunit ribosomal RNA", at positions 29 to 337 of the family's 1533-position model. The record is from RNAcentral.
AUUGAACGCUGGCGGCAUGCCUUACACAUGCAAGUCGAACGGCAGCACGGGAGCAAUCCUGGUGGCGAGUGGCGAACGGGUGAGUAAUACAUCGGAACGUGCCCAGUAGUGGGGGAUAACCCGGCGAAAGCGGACUAAUACCGCAUACGACCUACGGGUGAAAGCAGGGGAUACGCAAGACCUUGCGCUAUCGGAGGCGGCCGAUGUCAGAUUAGCUAGUUGGUGGGGAAAAGCCCACCAAGGCGACGAUCUGUAGCUGGUCUGAGAGGACGGACCAGCCACACUGGGACUGAGACACGGCCCAGACU